Molecule: transfer RNA, 72 nt
Filed under: Candidatus Terrybacteria bacterium RIFCSPLOWO2_01_FULL_40_23
Lineage: Bacteria; Candidatus Terryibacteriota
Description: tRNA-Gly
Rfam family: tRNA
About the family: Transfer RNA (tRNA) molecules are approximately 80 nucleotides in length. Their secondary structure includes four short double-helical elements and three loops (D, anti-codon, and T loops). Further hydrogen bonds mediate the characteristic L-shaped molecular structure. tRNAs have two regions of fundamental functional importance: the anti-codon, which is responsible for specific mRNA codon recognition, and the 3' end, to which the tRNAs corresponding amino acid is attached (by aminoacyl-tRNA synthetases). tRNAs cope with the degeneracy of the genetic code in two manners: having more than one tRNA (with a specific anti-codon) for a particular amino acid; and 'wobble' base-pairing, i.e. permitting non-standard base-pairing at the 3rd anti-codon position.
Source: RNAcentral
GCGGGUAUGGUAUAACGGCUAUUACGCGAACCUUCCAAGUUCGACACAGGGGUUCGACUCCCCUUACCCGCU